GACAUUAUAGUUUAGAGUUAAGGGGUGGGGUUUAGGGUUUAAGGUUAAUUUAAGGUUUAGGGUUUAUAAUUUAGAGUUUAGGGUUUAGGGUCGAGGAGUAGGGUUUUGAGGGUAGGAUUUCAACUUUUAAAAAUUUUAAAAAAAUUUAAAAUUUUUAAAAUAAAAAAUGUUAUUUUGGUCUUUUUAGUUUUUGGGAUAUAUUUUUGUGACAAAAACUUAAAAAGGUCUAUUUGAGAGAAUUGCUCUUUAUUUAAACUAACAUAUCACAUUUUACAGCACAAAUAUUUCUUUAUUUGUCUUUUCAGGUUACAAUAUAAAAUUAGUUGGAAAUUUAAACCAAUGAUUACUAUUUUCAUAGUAUUGAUAAAUUUUAUUUAAAUAAAAUGAUUACUAUUUUCAUAGUAUUGAUAAUUCUACAAAAAACGUUUGUUUAGUAUUUUGAAAUAUAGUUAGAAAAAAAUGAAGUAAUUUGUUUUUUUUUUGAAUAAUUCAUCAUUUGGAGAAGAUGAAGUUAGCUGUAUUCAAAAUAAUAAAACAUCAAAUACGGGUAUAUUCAUUUAACAGCAACAAUAUUUGUUGUUUGUUACAAAAAUCAUAUAUAAAUGGUAUAAUCCUAUAAUUCUGUUACUGUAACAUUAUUGGAAAACAAUCAGCAUAAUAUCAAAGAAAAAAUCUAUUCCAAUAUUAAAUAAUAUAAUUCAAAAAGUUACUAAAUUCAAAUUACGGGUAUAUUAUUUGCCCGCAACUAUAUUGGUCGUAGAUUUAAAAAUUUCACUAAACUUAAAUUGAUGGAGUCUACCGGUAGUUACUAGAAAAUAGUUUCAUCUCACCAUGAAUUUCUAUGUAUAUUAUAUCAUGAAAUUUUUUUAAUUUAACAUAUUAAAAACAGAUAUCAGUGUUUUUAGUUUAAUAUUCAAUCGUAAUAAUAUUCAAAUAUUAGUGUAGAUUAAUAUUUUAAUAUGUUCAUAAAUACAAAUAAAAUUACUAAAUAAUAAAAUAUUUAUUUAUAUUACUUAUAAUUUUAAUUAAAAAAUUACAGGUAAUAUUCUAUUUCAAUAAAAGAAUAUAAAUACAAAUAAUAUUUAAAUUUGUUGAACUUUGCAUAUAUUAGUGAGAAAAUCUAAUAAGAUAAAUAUAUAAGUCACAAUUACAUGUAAUAGUUCAAAAAAAUUAAUUGAAUAGACAAACAUGCACACUAUAAAAUUAUUGUAUCUAAAAAAGUAUAAAAACUUUAAAUAUAUGAUUAAUUAAUAAAAAAUAUAUACCAAUAAUAAUGUAAAAACAGAUGUAUAUGUUUAUAAAGUGAAAAUAAACACCCGCGCGGUUGUGCGGGUCGAAAUCUAGUUUUAUUAUUAAAAUUUAAGGUUGUCUAGGAAUCCAUACCAAAAUAAAACAAUCAACAAAAACAAAAUUUCUAUGAAAAGAGCGUGCAAUUUUACCUAAAAAGUUUGAUGUCCGGUUUUGGCUCCUUCCAAAAGUUAUUUACAUUGUCAUGCCAUUUUUUAUUUUUAGGAUUUGUUUUAAUUAAUUUCACCCAUUUAAUAAGGAAACAAAUGUUUUGAACAUAUUAAUUUUGUUUACAUAUACAAGUUUGUUUAAAUUAUUUGUAAAUAACAAGUGUUUACUACGCUUAUACUUAAGCAAUUAAUUAUUGCUAUUAUUUAGGUCUUUUUAGUAUUAAAUAGUUUAUGGAUUUAUUUAAGAGAAAUUUCCAAAGAUAGACAUAAAAAAGUUUUUGUCACAUAUAUAGACCUUAAGAAUAAAAAUGACCAAAAUAGACUUAAUAUUUUAUCAAAAGAAGUAAAUAUACACUUAUGUAGGGUUAAUUAAUCUAGACAUUAUAGUUUAGAGUUAAGGGGUGGGGUUUAGGGUUUAAGGUUAAUUUAAGGUUUAGGGUUUAUAAUUUAGAGUUUAGGGUUUAGGGUCGAGGAGUAGGGUUUUGAGGGUAGGAUUUCAACUUUUAAAAAUUUUAAAAAAAUUUAAAAUUUUUAAAAUAAAAAAUGUUAUUUUGGUCUUUUUAGUUUUUGGGAUAUAUUUUUGUGACAAAAACUUAAAAAGGUCUAUUUGAGAGAAUUGCUCUUUAUUUAAACUAACAUAUCACAUUUUACAGCACAAAUAUUUCUUUAUUUGUCUUUUCAGGUUACAAUAUAAAAUUAGUUGGAAAUUUAAACCAAUGAUUACUAUUUUCAUAGUAUUGAUAAAUUUUAUUUAAAUAAAAUGAUUACUAUUUUCAUAGUAUUGAUAAUUCUACAAAAAACGUUUGUUUAGUAUUUUGAAAUAUAGUUAGAAAAAAAUGAAGUAAUUUGUUUUUUUUUUGAAUAAUUGAUAAACAUGAAAAUUUAUUGGGUUAGACUAGUUUAUUUUUAUUAUAUAUUACAUAAUUUAAAUCAAAAUAAUUUUAUAUACGAUAAACUAUUAUAAUAUUUAUGGCAUCCAAAACAUAUACAUACCAAAAAUAAAAAAUAUUGCAAAAAUAUUAGAAUAUUUAAUAUAUGUUUACAUAGUAUAUCUUUAGAAUGGGUUAAAAUUUAAUAUAAUUAUAGUAUAUAUGUGCCAAAAAUAAUAAUAUUAACACAACAAAAAAUAAAAUAUCAAAAAUUAAAAUUUUGUUGGAAAAUAA
This 2620-nucleotide long non-coding RNA is filed under the name Brassica napus (rape). Its description in RNAcentral is "long non-coding RNA (BNAP_LNC006694)". The record is from RNAcentral. Lineage: Eukaryota; Viridiplantae; Streptophyta; Magnoliopsida; Brassicales; Brassicaceae.